Molecule: transfer RNA, 74 nt
Filed under: Bacteroidota bacterium
Lineage: Bacteria; Pseudomonadati; Bacteroidota
Description: Bacteroidetes bacterium (activated sludge metagenome) tRNA-Lys
Rfam family: tRNA
About the family: Transfer RNA (tRNA) molecules are approximately 80 nucleotides in length.
Source: RNAcentral
AGCUCAGUUUUUAAUUGUUUUGGUAGAGCAUAACACUUUUAAUGUUGGGGUCCUGGGUUCGAGUCCCAGCGGGA